Caretta caretta (loggerhead turtle) is the source of this 451-nucleotide long non-coding RNA. RefSeq lists it as uncharacterized. The record is from RefSeq and is a predicted model, not a curated record. NCBI's taxonomy places the organism in Eukaryota, Metazoa, Chordata, Testudines, Cheloniidae.
UUUGUGCUCUUUGUUUACGUGUUGGUUCUCUCUUGGGACUGAGAGAGGCCAGACAGAAAUCCAUCUUCUCCAACCCAUCCUAAUCCAAGUCUCCAAUUUUGCAACCAGUAUAGCUGAGGACAACGAGAACCGCCCACCAUGCCCCAAGCCAGAGCUCUGCUGACCGCUAGUGUACGUACUGGACAGCCUGCGGAAAGGGAACCUCUUGACAAGAGUCGUUUGCACAAAGGGUUACGGGCAGUAUGGGUAUCAUAAGGGCGGCUGUCCCGGUCGCUGUGCCAAGGGAUGUGCCAAACACGAAGUGGCGUCUAAAACCUACGACUGCAAACACCUGAACUGCUGCACCCACCCCAAGAAAGGGUAAAGAGCACUGCGGUCUCCACCCGCACAGGAAGAGUGGCGGCAGCAACCUGAUUGUGUAUUAGAAAUGUUGUUCACUCUUCAUUAAAUA